RNAcentral lists this ribosomal RNA (497 nucleotides) under uncultured bacterium. RNAcentral's name for it is "partial 16S ribosomal RNA". It matches the Rfam family "Bacterial small subunit ribosomal RNA", at positions 28 to 507 of the family's 1533-position model. The record is from RNAcentral.
GAUGAACGCUGGCGGCGUGCCUAAUACAUGCAAGUCGAGCGAACAGACGAGGAGCUUGCUCCUCUGACGUUAGCGGCGGACGGGUGAGUAACACGUGGAUAACCUACCUAUCAUACUGGGAUAACUUCGGGAAACCGGCGCUAAUACCGGAUAAUAUAUUGAACCGCAUGGUGCAAUAGUGAAAGACGGUUUUGCUGUCACUUAUAGAUGGAUCCGCGCCGCAUUAGCUGGUAGGUAAGGUAACGGCUUUCCAAGGCAACGAUGCGUAGCCGACGUGAGAGGGUGAUCGGCGGCACGGGAAGUGGAACAGGGUCAAGACGCCUACGGGAGGCAGCAGUAGGGAAUGUGCCGCAAUGGGCGAAAGCCUGACGGAGCAACGCCGAGUGAGUGAUGACGGUCUUCGGAUCGUAAAACUCUGUUAUUAGGGAAGAACAACUGUGUAAGGAACCAUGCACGGCUUGACGGUAACUAAUCAGAAAGCAACGGCUAACUACGUG